UGGCCAACGUAGAAGAUAAGUGACCGUGU
This 29-nucleotide non-coding RNA is filed under the name Rattus norvegicus (Norway rat). The record is from RNAcentral. Lineage: Eukaryota; Metazoa; Chordata; Mammalia; Rodentia; Muridae.